This 548-nucleotide ribosomal RNA is filed under the name uncultured bacterium. RNAcentral describes it as "bacterial SSU rRNA". It matches the Rfam family "Bacterial small subunit ribosomal RNA", at positions 356 to 896 of the family's 1533-position model. The record is from RNAcentral.
GGGGAAUUUUGGACAAUGGGCGCAAGCCUGAUCCAGCCAUGCCGCGUGUCUGAAGAAGGCCUUCGGGUUGUAAAGGACUUUUGUCAGGGAAGAAAAGGCUGUUGCUAAUACCGACAGCUGAUGACGGUACCUGAAGAAUAAGCACCGGCUAACUACGUGCCAGCAGCCGCGGUAAUACGUAGGGUGCGAGCGUUAAUCGGAAUUACUGGGCGUAAAGCGAGCGCGGACGGUUACUUAAGCAGGAUGUGAAAUCCCCGGGCUCAACCUGGGAACUGCGUUCUGAACUGGGUGACUAGAGUGUGUCAGAGGGAGGUAGAAUUCCACGUGUAGCAGUGAAAUGCGUAGAGAUGUGGAGGAAUACCGAUGGCGAAGGCAGCCUCCUGGGAUAACACUGACGUUCAUGCUCGAAAGCGUGGGUAGCAAACAGGAUUAGAUACCCUGGUAGUCCACGCCCUAAACGAUGUCAAUUAGCUGUUGGGCAACUUGAUUGCUUAGUAGCGUAGCUAACGCGUGAAAUUGACCGCCUGGGGAGUACGGUCGCAAGAUUA